UACGUAGGGGCCAAGCGUUGUCCGGAUUUAUUGGGCGUAAAGAGCUCGUAGGUGGUUCGGCAAGUCAGUUGUGAAAUCUCCGCGCUCAACGCGGAGGGGUCAGCUGAAACUGCUGUGACUUGAGUCUGGUAGGGGAGUGUGGAAUUCCCGGUGUAGCGGUGAAAUGCGCAGAUAUCGGGAAGAACACCUAUGGCGAAGGCAGCUCCCUGGGACGGUACUGACGCUGAGACGCGAAAGCGUGGGGAGCGAACAGG
Molecule: ribosomal RNA, 254 nt
Filed under: uncultured bacterium
Lineage: Bacteria
Description: partial 16S ribosomal RNA
Rfam family: Bacterial small subunit ribosomal RNA
Source: RNAcentral